GAUGAACGCUAGCGGCAGGCCUAAUACAUGCCAGCCGAACGGCAAGUUUGAUAGCAAUAUUGGACCUAGAGUGGCGCAAGGGUGCGUAACACGUAUGCAACCUGCCCGCGACAGGAGGAUAGCUCCCCGAAAGGGGAAUUAACCCUCCAUAACACCAUGAGAAGGCAUCUGAUUAUGGUUAAACCGCAAGGGGUCGCGGAUGGGCAUGCGGUUGAUUAGCUAGUUGGCGGGGUAAAGGCCCACCAAGGCGGUGAUCAAUAGGGGUUCUGAGAGGAAGGUCCCCCACACUGGCACUGGGAUACGGGCCAGACUCCUACGGGAGGCAGCAGUAGGGAAUAUUGGACAAUGGUUGCAAGACUGAUCCAGCCAUGCCGCGUGCAGGAAGAAGGCCUUCUGGGUCGUAAACUGCUUUUACCUGUGGAUAAAAUACCCGUGCGCGGGGAAUUGAAGGUAACAGGGGAAUAAGCCACGGCUAACUACGUG
RNAcentral lists this ribosomal RNA (483 nucleotides) under uncultured bacterium. RNAcentral describes it as "partial 16S ribosomal RNA". It matches the Rfam family "Bacterial small subunit ribosomal RNA", at positions 28 to 507 of the family's 1533-position model. The record is from RNAcentral.